This 56-nucleotide transfer RNA is filed under the name Cotylurus marcogliesei. RNAcentral describes it as "tRNA-Asn". Lineage: Eukaryota; Metazoa; Platyhelminthes; Trematoda; Diplostomida; Strigeidae. The record is from RNAcentral.
UGUAGAUUAAAUUGUAAAUUGUAAGGCUGUUAACCUUAAGAUAAGUUUUUUUACAG